CACACACACACACACACACAAAACAUAAAAUUAUCAUACUUAACUAGUUUAAUAAGUAAAAAAAAGCAUAUUGAAAAAAAAAACAUAUUAUUUGUUCUAUAAGGGAAAUAGAAAGCAGAAAAUAAUAAGGUUAUAAAAAGGAAAUGAAAUUUAAAGAAACAAUAAUCAACUCCAUUUUGUUAGGGCUUAGAACAAGCAUUUGAUGAAAAAGGCACUAAACUCUUUAAUAGAUAAGACUUAUAUAAGACAAGAAAAUUUACAUAUGUGGAAAGUAAUAUUCUAGCUUAAUCAGAUCUUGUAUUACAGCCAAAAUGGAUAAUGUCAAAUAUAUACUGUUAGAAUCUCUAAAUCUUUCCUAAUUAUUUUUAUUCCUUAUUUGAGGAAUAGUUGACUUAGGAAUUCACCAGCUAUAUAAUCAUUUGGCUGUAUAAUCCUUAAUUUAGAUCCUAAUUUGUCGUAAUCUCUUAUUAGCUGUAUAAUUCCUGAUUUAUUUUCCAAUUUGCUGUAAUCCUUGAUUAGUUGCUUUUUUCCUUGUUUAGUUAGGUCUUCUUGGUGUAUAAAUUCUUUUUGCACGUGUAACUUAAAAAAAAAGGAAAAAAAA
This 601-nucleotide unclassified non-coding RNA is filed under the name Hevea brasiliensis (rubber tree). The record is from RNAcentral. Lineage: Eukaryota; Viridiplantae; Streptophyta; Magnoliopsida; Malpighiales; Euphorbiaceae.